Aegilops tauschii subsp. strangulata is the source of this 2045-nucleotide long non-coding RNA. RefSeq lists it as uncharacterized. Lineage: Eukaryota; Viridiplantae; Streptophyta; Magnoliopsida; Poales; Poaceae. The record is from RefSeq and is a predicted model, not a curated record.
UUUCUGCUUCUUCACUGUUUUUUUAUGCUGAACCUAGAAUGAGAUGCAUGCUCAUUCUAGUUAGUAUACUGAGCACAGCAACCCUGCAUUUUUUUUACAGUGACGGGCUUCAGUUUUUUCAGUAAUAGUAGUGUUUUUCGCAGCACAUACUGAUAUGCAUACUCAUUGUUUUGAGGUUUUUAUCUGUGAUGAUUGCUUCUUCUUUUUUUCAUUCCUGGUGCAAUGGGGGCAGUGGUGCUUCAUUUUCAAAUCAUUCCAUAUUUUUAUAUAUAGUGUGUUUCGUUCCGCUGUUGUUGUUGCAUAGGUUCGUAACAAAGCGAUAUAAUAUGUUGUCGUUGUUGUUCUUUUUGUUUUUGCAGAGACUCAACAAUGGAUGAUGAGGAACCUACUAAUGGAUCUUUCUCAGCACGUGUUUGUACCUUGGUUGUGUCUGUUUGCGCGGAAACAUCUGAAUGAUGAAAAGAGGGUAGUCAUAAACAAGUCAGCUUCGGAUCUAUGAUGAAUAUCGCCUCAUUCUCUGUACUAGAGCCUCAAGAAUGGAUGAUGAGAUUGAAGAACCUACUGAUGGGUCCUUCACAACAGGUUUUUCAGCUUCUCGCUUGCGUCAGGUUGCUGAGAAACAUCUGAAUGACGACAAGAGGGGAAUCUGAAAUGAUUGCAACUUUGUUUCUUUGAUGAAUAUUUCCCCCUUUUAUGUACCAGAUGAGCUGCUAGACCGGGUAGUCAUGAAGAUUGACCCUAAGCAGGGUUUGUUUAGUCAUAAAAAGAAAGAUAUAUCUGUACUUAAGAAGGCGAGGAACCACGAAACUGCGACCAUGGAGAGGUCUUGGGUUCUUUUACGCAUCACGCUUGUGCUAGUGCUUCGCACCGGCAACGUGGUGCCCUUGAGUACCUUGCUAGCCUGAAGGACAUCGCUGAACUUGACGAUUUUGCGUGAGACGAGCGCAUCUUGGCUGCUGCAUUGAGAGGUGAAGAAGUACCGACACAAAGAAGGAGGCUUGGGGUUCCAAGCUUCUUGAUUGGUCGUCGCCUACCAAUGUUUCUGAUAAUAUGCAAGGACCAUAUGGAGGCGCCACGAUCAUGCAUUAGUGAGCAAAUGGGGUGGUUCGCGCACCGAAAUGCCAUUGCUCCUCCGCUGCGGCAAGGAGGUCGUGGCAUCGUGCUGCUGCUGCAUGUGAGCUCGUCGAGAUGAGAGCUCAUCUCCCUCAACUCUGGCGGCACCCACCGUUGUGCUGUGUUGCAACACCCUCGGUGCUACCACGUGGGACUGUUGUGGCGGGGCGUCCGCUGCUGCUGCUUUGCAACACCACCGCUACUGCAAGGGCUGUUGCGUGUGCGCACGUCCAGGGCAUCUCCCUCAACUCCAGCGUCCGCCACUGUCGUGCUAGUUGCAACACCAUCGAUGCUGCCGGCGAAGGCUGCUGUAGCGGGGCGUCUGAUACUGCUGCUUUGCAACAACACCGCUACUGCAAAGGCUGCUGCGUGUGCGCUCGACGCGACAGGGCAUCUCCCUCAACUCCGGCGGUCACCGCCGAAGCUGCAUUGGAACACUAGUGCUGCGAUUGGUCACUACUAUGUAGUGGGCGUCUGGUGAUGCUACUUUGUAACACCAGCGCUGCUGCAAGGUCCACGACGGCGACGCGUGCUGCGAUCCCAGGGGGGUUGCGGAGCUGCGAGCCAACAAGCUGUGAAGCCGAGGGUUCGAUGCUAAGUACAAUGGUUGAUCAUCAUCGCUUUGUGCCCGUGCUACGAGGAGCCUGCCAUUCGGUGAUGUGAAGCAGGCCAUGGAGAAACUAUUUUAGCGUUGCGAAGCUAGCCACCGGCUCUUCCUAUUGUCACGCGAGUGGCGAGGCAGGGGAUAUGAUAGAGUGAGACGAGGGGUUAGAUCAGACGGUUAUUAAUGAUUUAAGCAUGCGGCUGGCGAGGCGGUUGAUCGCCUGCGGGGAUCAGCCGGUUGAUUUGUAGCCUUGCCAUUUUUCAAUUUGGAUGCAUUGGGACCCAAGACCAGUGGGUAUUUCCGCUCUAAGCAUCGCUUGUCUUCUACU